AUAAAGAUAAGCUAAUAAAGCUUAUGGGUUCAUACCCCGUUUAUAGAAGUAAAACCUUCUUCUUUUUA
Molecule: transfer RNA, 68 nt
Filed under: Salina celebensis
Lineage: Eukaryota; Metazoa; Arthropoda; Collembola; Entomobryomorpha; Paronellidae
Description: tRNA-Met
Source: RNAcentral